AAACAAACGCAUAAACAGAAGUGUGUUUAUGUGUUUACGUGUUAUGCUGCAACUUGUGUUUAUGUCAUUACCCAUAUAUACACAUGAAAAAGUGUACAUAUACACAAAGACAUAAACACAAUUUGUAUCAUAACACUUAAACACAUAAACACAUGAAAAUUAUGA
RNAcentral lists this microRNA precursor (165 nucleotides) under Arabidopsis halleri. RNAcentral describes it as "microRNA S2". The record is from RNAcentral. Lineage: Eukaryota; Viridiplantae; Streptophyta; Magnoliopsida; Brassicales; Brassicaceae.